CGCGGGGUGGAGCAGCCUGGUAGCUCGUCGGGCUCAUAACCCGAAGGUCGUCNGUUCAAAUCCGGCCCCCGCAACCA
This 77-nucleotide transfer RNA is filed under the name Klebsiella sp. AS10. Its description in RNAcentral is "tRNA-Met". It matches the Rfam family "tRNA". Rfam says of the family: Transfer RNA (tRNA) molecules are approximately 80 nucleotides in length. Their secondary structure includes four short double-helical elements and three loops (D, anti-codon, and T loops). Lineage: Bacteria; Pseudomonadati; Pseudomonadota; Gammaproteobacteria; Enterobacterales; Enterobacteriaceae. The record is from RNAcentral. RNAcentral also lists the same sequence under 2 other names.